GAUGAAGAACGUAGCAAAAUGCGAUAAGUAAUGUGAAUUGCAGAAUUCAGUGAAUCAUCGAAUCUUUGAACGCACAUUGCGCCCGCUGGUAUUCCGGCGGGCAUGCCUGUUCGAGCGUCAUUUCAACCCUCAAGCCCCCGGGUUUGGUGUUGGGGAUCGGCUCUGCCCUUCUGGGCGGUGCCGCCCCCGAAAUACAUUGGCGGUCUCGCUGCAGCCUCCAUUGCGUAGUAGCUAACACCUCGCAACUGGAACGCGGCGCGGCUAUGCCGUAAAACCCCAACUUCUGAAUGUUGACCUCGGAUCAGGUAGGAAUACCCGCUGAACUUAAGCAUAUCAAUAAGCGGAGGA
RNAcentral lists this unclassified non-coding RNA (348 nucleotides) under soil metagenome. RNAcentral's name for it is "partial contains 5.8S ribosomal RNA, internal transcribed spacer 2, and large subunit ribosomal RNA". The stretch from base 1 to 120 matches the Rfam family "5.8S ribosomal RNA", at positions 35 to 154 of the family's 154-position model. The record is from RNAcentral.